Non-coding RNA from Camellia sinensis, 1190 nucleotides. The record is from RefSeq and is a predicted model, not a curated record. Lineage: Eukaryota; Viridiplantae; Streptophyta; Magnoliopsida; Ericales; Theaceae.
GCGUCUUUGAUAUUUUCAUUUUUCCCCCCCAUCUCUCUCUCUCUCUCUCUCUCUCUCUCUCUAUCUUUCAUCUACGAGUUCACUCCCGCCGACAUCAGUUUGUUGAUCCACCUUCACCAAGCUGACAUCGCCGCCCACCCUCUCUCGAUCUCGCCAUCGAUCUCGUUUGCACUCAUCUGUUUUCAUCUCUCUCUUUUAAUUCCUUCAAAAACCCUAGAGUUUGAAGACUUGAUGAUGAUGAAAUAAAUGAGGAGAUCUAUGUGCAGGUUUGUUCGACGAUUUAGCCCUCUAAAGUCAGAUCUCUGUAUCUCUCUCUGUUUUCUUUCCAUUUCAUAUAUUCGAUUUCCAGAUUUUUUUAAAUUUCUUUUGGUUUUGUCUUCAGCCCUUUAGUCAAGUCAUAGAGAUGAUGAUGACAGAGUUAAAGAGAUCUAUACGUAGGUUUUUGGCUCAAACCCAAAUUAUAAACAUUCAUAUCUAUCACAUUUGAUGUUGUUCUAUACGCAGGUUUUUGGCUCAAACCCAAAUUAUAAACAUUCAUAUCUAUCAUAGUUGAUGUCGUUUCGUUCAUCGAUUCACAUAUAAAUCCAGCAAAAUCCAAGCUAGCAUUCCAAAAUCUACUCAUUUCCACCUUAUUACUAUGAUUCGUUAAUGUCAAAUGCAACCAUAAAGCAAGCUAAUUGGGAUGCUUCAAAAGUUCGUACAGAGUUGAGACAAGAGCUAAGGGAUGAGAUUAGAGACGAAUUGAGGGAGGCGAUGUGAGCAGAGCUUUCGACACAAAUACAACAAAUGAAAGCUGAAAUGUUGGCUAUCGUGUCUCAGGAAGGGAGUACAAAUCACAACAAAUAGGUACCGGAUGCAUUGAGUGGCCACCGUGAACCUACGGAUUAUGAGGCCGAUGAGAACCCCCAUACACCACCACUAGAUGAUGAGAUGUGACCCCUUUUGAGUAUGUGAUGAUAUCUUCACAUAUCGAUAUUAGAGUGUACUAUUGACAUUAAAACAAAUUAUAAUAUAUAUAUUUUUUAUUUGUAUUGUCGAUACUUUUAUUUUGCUUUAGAUACAAAAAUUUAAGUUCUUGAAUAUAAAAAAUUAUUAGUAUUGUUGGAGAAUGUUUUAUAUAUUUUUGUAAAGAAUAUUUGGUUGACAAUUGUUAUGGGGUACAUAUAUACGUAUGAUUUUGUGGAUGUGAA